GCCUCGUUAGCUUAGUUGGUAGUGCGUCUGCCUUGUAAGCCCUAGGCCGCGGGUUCGAUUCCCGCCCGGGGUG
Molecule: transfer RNA, 73 nt
Filed under: Diaphorina citri (Asian citrus psyllid)
Lineage: Eukaryota; Metazoa; Arthropoda; Insecta; Hemiptera; Psyllidae
Rfam family: tRNA
About the family: Transfer RNA (tRNA) molecules are approximately 80 nucleotides in length.
Source: Rfam by way of RNAcentral